GACGAACGCUGGCGGCGUGCUUAACACAUGCAAGUCGAACGGAAAGGCCCUGCUUUUGUGGGGUGCUCGAGUGGCGAACGGGUGAGUAACACGUGAGUAACCUGCCCUUGACUUUGGGAUAACUUCAGGAAACUGGGGCUAAUACCGGAUAGGAGCUCCUGCUGCAUGGUGGGGGUUGGAAAGUUUCGGCGGUUGGGGAUGGACUCGCGGCUUAUCAGCUUGUUGGUGGGGUAGUGGCUUACCAAGGCUUUGACGGGUAGCCGGCCUGAGAGGGUGACCGGACACAUUGGGACUGAGAUACGGCCCAGACUCAUACGGGAGGCAGAAGUGGGGAAUAAUGCACAAUGGGCGGAAGCCUGAUGCAGCAACGCCGCGUGAGGGAUGAAGGCCUUCGGGUUGUAAACCGCUUUCGCCUGUGACGAAGCGUGAGUGACGGUAAUGGGUAAAGAAGCAACGGAUAACUACGUG
Molecule: ribosomal RNA, 468 nt
Filed under: uncultured bacterium
Lineage: Bacteria
Description: partial 16S ribosomal RNA
Rfam family: Bacterial small subunit ribosomal RNA
Source: RNAcentral